RNAcentral lists this non-coding RNA (812 nucleotides) under Pan troglodytes (chimpanzee). The record is from RNAcentral. Lineage: Eukaryota; Metazoa; Chordata; Mammalia; Primates; Hominidae.
GAGGUCAGGUCCGCCUCAUCAGCUAUGAAGUCUGUGAAUCCUGGGAGAAUCAGGAAGUCGUCGUAGGUGAGGCAGUCGGCGCUGGCAAAGAGCUGCUGCGCGGGGAGCCAGUUAUCGGGCACAUAGUCGGUGCCGCCCCUGAUCAGCCAUGUGAAGACCAUGAUUGCUUUCCCUUCAGCCUUCCACCUUUGUAAGUUUCCUGAGGCCUCCCCAGAAGCAGAAGCCUGCAUAGUCUGCAGAACUGAUUUUAGAAUGCCAAGCUGACAUUUUGAGUUGUUAUGAGAAACCAGAAAAUUUGGUGUGAAGACCCUAAGUGGUGCGUCUGACUUACAGCAGGCCCACACUGCUGAUUUAUGGUGUACCAGUGGAAGACAGGAGAGACAAAACCUGACAACCAGAAAAGAAAAAAAAAUAAAUUGAAGAAUCUUUCUAAUUUUCUGCUCAGCAGUGGCUAAUGUUGUUGUCCUCUUGUUGUUGAUUACUUCCAUCCACUCAAUUUGGCUGAUCUCCAGGGGGCCUACCCUUCUGUCCACUAAAACCUGGCAGCCUGUUUUUUGUUUUGUUUUGUUUUGUUUUAUCUUUAACUGAUGUGCUUUCAUUUUGUUUUAUUUUAUUUUGAUUGUUUUUCAUUUUGGGUGAGUUUACAGCACACUAAUACCAAAGAAAAUGAAUAAAGAAAACAUUAGAAUAAAACUAUGUUGGAGGAGAAGGGGAACAACAAACUCUACAGGAAUUCUGAUAGCUUUCUAUUUCCUUUUUUUGAAGUUUACUUUUUGUAAGUAGUAUUCUCAAUUGUAAAUCCACAAAAUAUU